RNAcentral lists this ribosomal RNA (440 nucleotides) under uncultured bacterium. Its description in RNAcentral is "partial 16S ribosomal RNA". It matches the Rfam family "Bacterial small subunit ribosomal RNA", at positions 338 to 795 of the family's 1533-position model. The record is from RNAcentral.
CCUACGGGCGGCAGCAGUGGGGGAUAUUGCACAAUGGGGGAAACCCUGAUGCAGCGACGCCGCGUGUGGGAAGACGGUCCUCUGGAUUGUAAACCACUGUCCCCAGGGACGAAGAUGACGGUACCUGGGGAGGAAGCUCCGGCUAACUACGUGCCAGCAGCCGCGGUAAUACGUAGGGAGCGAGCGUUGUCCGGAAUUACUGGGUGUAAGGGGAGCGUAGGCGGGACUGCAAGUUGGGUGUCAAAUCUACCGGCUCAACCGGUAGCCGCACUCAAAACUGCAGUUCUUGAGUGAAGUAGAGGCAGGCGGAAGUCCUAGUGUAGCGGUGAAAUGCGUAGAUAUUAGGAGGAACACCAGUGGCGAAGGCGGCCUGCUGGGCUUUUACUGACGCUGAGGCUCGAAAGUGUGGGGAGCAAACAGGAUUAGAUACCCCAGUAGUC